UAGCUAUGGUGUAACAAACUAACAAAUUAUCAAUUAAAAUAAAAGAAAACUAUGUAUAAGAAAGCUUCCUAUGUAAUUCCCAUGCUACGUGUAGAGUGGGAAUAUUGGGUGCUCCAAGUUUUAUUCUUCCAGUUGUAUUGAUCAACGGAUGAGAUAUGGGUAACUUGGUGUGAGAUGAACGGUUGAGAUCAUUUUGUCCUUUAAUCAUAGGAAGAUCCGAAGUCUUUGACUUAGUAGAUAUCGACUUAGGUUCCUUCUUCAAAGUGAUACAUAAAUCCUCUUCCUUUCUCUGUAAAUCAUCUUCCUCUCUUUGGAAAUCACCAUUUGUGGAUGAAGAAACCCCCAACUUGCACAAGUUUGUGAGAUGAGCCGGAUCGGAGAGGGAUUUGUAAAGAUGUCGGCGAUCUGAGAAUUUGAAGGGACAAAAGAGAGGGAAAUGAGUCCACCAAGGUACUGUUGGCAUACGGAAUGGCAAUCAAGAACAAUAUGUUUCGUACGCUCGUGAAAGACCUGAUUUUUGGCGAUAUGAAUGGCAUCCUGACUAUUGGAGUGAAGAGGGACAUAUAAAUUUGGUUGAAUCGAAAGAUCUGUGAGUAAUCGAACCCCGGCAGGCAAUUUUACCAACAACACGUCGCAUAGAUCGAUACUCCGCCUCGGCAAAUAAGAGUGAAACCAAAGAUUUUAUGUUGGUUUUCCAAGAAACAUGGGAACCACCGAGAGUGAUGAAAAAAUCACUUAUGGAUUUGUGAGAGUUAGGGCAUCUCCCCCAGUCAGAAUCACAAAAGGCAAGGAGAUUGAAAUUUUGGGAAGAAGACAAGAAAAUACCAAGAUCAGGAUCGAGGAGAAAGUAACGAAGGCAUCUUAAAGCAACAUCCAUAUGUGAGGUGUUUGCAUAUAUUGACUAAGGUGUUGAACGAAAAAGCUAAGGUCAAGUCGUGAAUGGAUAAUUUUGAACAAUGACUGAGGGAGAAGAAACAGGCUUCAAGUCAAGACAAUAAGAGGUCCAAGGAUCUUUCCACUGGAAAGGUGAAGGAGAUUGGUAGAUGGGAGAUUGGACUCUACAUCUUAGUGAAUCAAGCUCACAACCCAAAUAGAUGAAUUGCACUGAUAGCCUGGCAACACUGAUCAACAAAAAUAUACUUGGAGGAAUGUAGAAGAGAUUCAAUUGUGGCACAUAAGAUUGGGCGUCAUGUCCUAUCUCUAGAAGAUGAGUAAUAGCUUACUUAAUCAAGUUAGGAGAUUCAUUAGUCACUUGAAAGUCAAAGAAACAGACAACUAUUUGUAGGAGCUCAAAUAGGAAUCAGAGUACAGAAGCAUUGUAUCAACUUAUCUGAGCCGGUAUGGAGGCUAGGAUUAUUUAAAGAACUAGGAGUUGAUCACAAGAAGCUAGUUGACAUUUUCAGUGAUAGUAAGGCAGCAAUUCAGAUUGCAGCAAAUCCUGUAUAUCAUGAAAGGACCAAGCACAUUGAAAUAGACUUCCACUUUAUAAGGGAAAAAAUAAUGCAAAGGAUGGUAGCAACAAAAUAUAUCCCUACAUUGGGACAACCUGCUGACAUAUUGACUAAAGGACUUACCAGGGUUCAACAUGAAUAUCUAAGUUCCAAGCUAGGUUUUUGAACAUAUUUGACAUACCCCAUACCUAGCUUGAGGGGGAGUGUGGAAGGAAUGAAAUAGGAAGCAUGUAACUAGAAGGGUAGAUGGUAAUUUCUCUGUGUCAUUAAGUUAGUUAAUUAUGAUUAUGAUUAGUUAGUUACUUUACUUUAUGUAUAUAUACUCAUGUAUACCAUGUAUA
Lycium ferocissimum is the source of this 1792-nucleotide long non-coding RNA. RefSeq lists it as uncharacterized. The transcript is spliced from 4 exons. NCBI's taxonomy places the organism in Eukaryota, Viridiplantae, Streptophyta, Magnoliopsida, Solanales, Solanaceae. The record is from RefSeq and is a predicted model, not a curated record.